RNAcentral lists this ribosomal RNA (1079 nucleotides) under uncultured Acinetobacter sp. RNAcentral describes it as "bacterial SSU rRNA". It matches the Rfam family "Bacterial small subunit ribosomal RNA", at positions 32 to 1105 of the family's 1533-position model. Lineage: Bacteria; Pseudomonadati; Pseudomonadota; Gammaproteobacteria; Moraxellales; Moraxellaceae. The record is from RNAcentral.
AACGCUGGCGGCAGGCUUAACACAUGCAAGUCGAGCGGAGAUGAGGUGCUUGCACCUUAUCUUAGCGGCGGACGGGUGAGUAAUGCUUAGGAAUCUGCCUAUUAGUGGGGGACAACAUUCGAAAGGAAUGCUAAUACCGCAUACGUCCUACGGGAGAAAGCAGGGGAUCUUCGGACCUUGCGCUAAUAGAUGAGCCUAAGUCGGAUUAGCUAGUUGGUGGGGUAAAGGCCUACCAAGGCGACGAUCUGUAGCGGGUCUGAGAGGAUGAUCCGCCACACUGGGACUGAGACACGGCCCAGACUCCUACGGGAGGCAGCAGUGGGGAAUAUUGGACAAUGGGGGGAAACCCUGAUCCAGCCAUGCCGCGUGUGUGAAGAAGGCCUUAUGGUUGUAAAGCACUUUAAGCGAGGAGGAGGCUACUGAGACUAAUACUCUUGGAUAGUGGACGUUACUCGCAGAAUAAGCACCGGCUAACUCUGUGCCAGCAGCCGCGGUAAUACAGAGGGUGCGAGCGUUAAUCGGAUUUACUGGGCGUAAAGCGUGCGUAGGCGGCUUUUUAAGUCGGAUGUGAAAUCCCCGAGCUUAACUUGGGAAUUGCAUUCGAUACUGGGAAGCUAGAGUAUGGGAGAGGAUGGUAGAAUUCCAGGUGUAGCGGUGAAAUGCGUAGAGAUCUGGAGGAAUACCGAUGGCGAAGGCAGCCAUCUGGCCUAAUACUGACGCUGAGGUACGAAAGCAUGGGGAGCAAACAGGAUUAGAUACCCUGGUAGUCCAUGCCGUAAACGAUGUCUACUAGCCGUUGGGGCCUUUGAGGCUUUAGUGGCGCAGCUAACGCGAUAAGUAGACCGCCUGGGGAGUACGGUCGCAAGACUAAAACUCAAAUGAAUUGACGGGGGCCCGCACAAGCGGUGGAGCAUGUGGUUUAAUUCGAUGCAACGCGAAGAACCUUACCUGGCCUUGACAUACUAGAAACUUUCCAGAGAUGGAUUGGUGCCUUCGGGAAUCUAGAUACAGGUGCUGCAUGGCUGUCGUCAGCUCGUGUCGUGAGAUGUUGGGUUAAGUCCCGCAACGAGCGCAACCCU